UACGUAGGGGGCUAGCGUUGUCCGGAAUCAUUGGGCGUAAAGAGCGCGUAGGCGGCCAGAUAAGUCCGGUGUGAAAGUCGGGGGCUCAACCCUCGAAUGCCGGUGGAUACUGUCGGGCUAGAGUGCGGAAGAGGCGAGUGGAAUUCCUGGUGUAGCGGUGAAAUGCGCAGAUAUCAGGAGGAACACCGAUUGCGAAGGCAGCUCGCUGGGACGUCACUGACGCUGAGACGCGAAAGCGUGGGGAUCAAACAGG
Molecule: ribosomal RNA, 253 nt
Filed under: uncultured bacterium
Lineage: Bacteria
Description: partial 16S ribosomal RNA
Rfam family: Bacterial small subunit ribosomal RNA
Source: RNAcentral